GUGUCAGCAGCCGCGGUAAUACGGAGGGUGCAAGCAUUGAUCGGAAUUACUGGGCGUAAAGGGCGCGUAGGCGGUUAGGUAAGUCAGAUGUGAAAUUCCGGGGCUCAACCCCGGAGCUGCAUUUGAAACUCCCUAGCUAGAGUUCAGUUAGGGUAAACGGAAUUCCACGUGUAGCGGUGAAAUGCGUAGAUAUGUGGAAGAACACCGGUGGUGAAGACGGUUUACUGGGCUGAGACUGACGCUGAGGCGCGAAAGCAUGGGGAGCAAACAGGAUUAGAAACCCGGGUAGUCC
This 292-nucleotide ribosomal RNA is filed under the name uncultured bacterium. Its description in RNAcentral is "partial 16S ribosomal RNA". It matches the Rfam family "Bacterial small subunit ribosomal RNA", at positions 505 to 796 of the family's 1533-position model. The record is from RNAcentral.